UGUUUAACCCUUUGUAAGUCGCUCUGGAUAAGGGCGUCUGCUAAAUACCGAAAA
Molecule: regulatory RNA element, 54 nt
Organism: Astyanax mexicanus (Mexican tetra)
Lineage: Eukaryota; Metazoa; Chordata; Actinopteri; Characiformes; Acestrorhamphidae
Rfam family: UnaL2 LINE 3' element
About the family: The eel long interspersed element (LINE) UnaL2 and its partner short interspersed element (SINE) share a conserved 3' tail containing a stem-loop that is critical for their retrotransposition. Presumably, the first step of retrotransposition is the recognition of their 3' tails by UnaL2-encoded reverse transcriptase.
Source: Rfam